This 494-nucleotide ribosomal RNA is filed under the name uncultured bacterium. RNAcentral's name for it is "partial 16S ribosomal RNA". It matches the Rfam family "Bacterial small subunit ribosomal RNA", at positions 28 to 507 of the family's 1533-position model. The record is from RNAcentral.
GACGAACGCUGGCGGCGUGCUUAACACAUGCAAGUCGAACGGAAAGGCCUGCUUUCCCUUGUGGAUUGCGGGUACUCGAGUGGCGAACGGGUGAGUAACACGUGAGUGAUCUGCCCCCAACUUGGGUAUAAGCCUGGGAAACUGGGUCUAAUUCCCGAUAGGACUGCAGGGUGGUGCCUGUGGUGGAAAACGAUUUUCUAGUGGUUGGGGAUGAGCUCGCGGCCUAUCAGCUUGUUGGUGGGGUAAUGGCCUACCAAGGCGGCGACGGGUAGCCGGCCUGAGAGGGUGGACGGCCACAUUGGGACUGAGAUACGGCCCAGACUCCUACGGGAGGCAGCAGUGGGGAAUAUUGCACAAUGGGCGGAAGCCUGAUGCAGCGACGCCGCGUGGGGGAUGACGGCCUUCGGGUUGUAAACUCCUUUCGACCGCGAGGAAGCCACCUGGUUGGAAGGGUGGUGGCGGUAGUGGUAGAAGAAGCACCGGCUAACUACGUG